RNAcentral lists this transfer RNA (74 nucleotides) under Priestia aryabhattai. Its description in RNAcentral is "tRNA-Gly". It matches the Rfam family "tRNA". From Rfam's summary of the family: Transfer RNA (tRNA) molecules are approximately 80 nucleotides in length. Lineage: Bacteria; Bacillati; Bacillota; Bacilli; Caryophanales; Bacillaceae. The record is from RNAcentral.
GCGGGUGUAGUUUAAUGGUAAAACCUCAGCCUUCCAAGCUGAUGUGGUGAGUUCGAUUCUCAUCACCCGCUCCA